CACACCCCCAGAGCCUGAUGCUCAAGUUGCUCAUUAUUCCUGUAUGGGUUUCAGAAAAGUGACUAUGCAACUCUCUCAUCUGGGAAGCAGUGCUAAUCCAGAUGAAAAUUAGAAGAUUCUUGCUUACAAGGAAUUCAAAAUUGUGCAGUGGUGCUGAUGUGGAUUCCUGAGGCUCUGGGACAGGACAACCAAUCACACAGGAGUCUGGCAUUCAUAUAUAUGGACAACAUUGAAAAAUCCCUGAUAAAAUGAGUUUUGUUAUGGCCUGAAGAUGCAGCUUAUCACAGGUAAGUAGAAUAUUGCAUUGAUCUCUGCUGUAGAUAAGGAGACUACCAAGGAGCAGCUGCCUUGCC
Molecule: long non-coding RNA, 353 nt
Filed under: Cyanistes caeruleus (blue tit)
Lineage: Eukaryota; Metazoa; Chordata; Aves; Passeriformes; Paridae
Description: lncRNA (ENSCCEG00000020827.1)
Source: RNAcentral